UGAUUCCCUCUGCUAGAGCACAGACCCAAUGUGCCCAGCUGCAUCUGGCCCUUGCACAGCUCUCCCCAGGAUUUCAGUAGAACAGAGAGCUGUGCAUCUGCUCCUUGUGUCCACCUGAGCGCUGUGUAUGACAUUUGAGGAUUCAGUGGAAGCAGUUAGGAGAAGUUCCCACCGUGUCUGGAUCAUGGAUGCUUCUCAGAGGCAGUGAUGUCUAACUUAAAGCCAUCAAGCUGCAAAGUUAAUUAGGUGAGGAGGAGGAAAAGCAAGAUAAAAAGUGAAAACAACCCAGAUGUCCGUCAACUGAUGAAUGGAUAAGCAAAAUGUGGCACAUUUGUACAAUGGAAUAUUAUUCAGCCACAAAAAGGAAUGAGGAGAGCUGCCUCUCAGCUGAUGGGCUUAAGAUAUCCUAGAAGUCUCCGGGAUGAUU
Molecule: long non-coding RNA, 427 nt
Organism: Balaenoptera acutorostrata (minke whale)
Lineage: Eukaryota; Metazoa; Chordata; Mammalia; Artiodactyla; Balaenopteridae
Exons: 3
Source: RefSeq, a predicted model, not a curated record